AUUGAACGCUGGCGGCAUGCCUUACACAUGCAAGUCGAACGGCAGCACGGGAGCAAUCCUGGUGGCGAGUGGCGAACGGGUGAGUAAAGUAUCGGAGCGUGCCCAGUCGUGGGGGAUAACGUAGCGAAAGUUACGCUAAUACCGCAUACGAUCUAUGGAUGAAAGCGGGGGAUCGCAAGACCUCGCGCGAUUGGAGCGGCCGAUAUCAGAUUAGGUAGUUGGUGGGGUAAAGGCUCACCAAGCCGACGAUCUGUAGCUGGUCUGAGAGGACGACCAGCCACACUGGGACUGAGACACGGCCCAGACUCCUACGGGAGGCAGCAGUGGGGAAUUUUGGACAAUGGGCGCAAGCCUGAUCCAGCCAUGCCGCGUGCAGGAUGAAGGCCUUCGGGUUGUAAACUGCUUUUGUACGGAACGAAAAGGUUUGACUUAAUACGUUGGACUCAUGACGGUACCGUAAGAAUAAGCACCGGUUAACUACGUGCCAGCAGCCGCCGUAA
RNAcentral lists this ribosomal RNA (500 nucleotides) under uncultured bacterium. RNAcentral's name for it is "partial 16S ribosomal RNA". It matches the Rfam family "Bacterial small subunit ribosomal RNA", at positions 30 to 523 of the family's 1533-position model. The record is from RNAcentral.